UGAGGAAUUCUUCAGAAUCCCGGAUAAAGACCUUCUUGAUGUCUUCAGGGCAGCAAUGGACCGAUUUACACCAAAGCUCUUGAAAGUAUACAGAGCUCGAAAAGCUGCAUUUGGAGAGGAUAUGGAACAGCUUCUAGAAAGACUUGAUGAAAGGAUGACCGAUAUUGUUAAUCACAGAAGGACUACUGCUUUGAAAGGCCUGCCUUUGUUUCUUUGAGAGGACCCAAACAAGCUGUUCAAGACAUGCAAAGACAACGAAGAUGGGGCAAAAGGAGUGUCUAUUGCCAUUCUGUGUGUUUUGGAAGAUGAGACCCAGGGACCAUCACCAGAGGUUGUAAACAUUGCUGUUGUGUUGGAGCAGGUCGUCGUUUUGAAAGAUCUCCCAGAUAUUUCUACUGCUCUUGCAUACCUUUUUGGCCUUCUGUAUGCAUUAAACAUGUCCUAUCCUCAAGUUCUUAAGUACACUUUUGACACCAUUCAGAAUGUUUUCAUGGAGCUGGGAUCUGGAUGCACCAAACGUGUACUUUCUCUGAAGAACAAACUGUUGUAAAGAAAAUCAGAACCGUGUUUUUGGAUUCUUUUUGAUGUUCAUUUGUUUUAAGACCUAAAGUUCGCUUGGAUACAAGGUCUGGGGAUUCUUAGUUGGCAUCUCUAUUUCUUGUUACAGAUGUCAAACUGUUCAAAAUGCACCAAACGUGUGCUUUCUCUGAAGAACAAACUGUUGUAAAGAAAAUCAGAACAGUGUUUUGGGAUCCUUUUUGGGAUUCAUUUGUUAAUAGACCUAAAGUGCAGCUUGGAUACAACGUGAUUCUUUUAGGUGACAUCUAUUUUGCUUGUCAUAAGAUGCAUAAGACUGUUCUUAAAGAGUAACUAAACCCUAAACCAACUUUUUUAGUAAAUGAUCUGU
This is a non-coding RNA of Paramisgurnus dabryanus, 907 nucleotides long. The record is from RefSeq and is a predicted model, not a curated record. NCBI's taxonomy places the organism in Eukaryota, Metazoa, Chordata, Actinopteri, Cypriniformes, Cobitidae.